GAGUGAUCUAUUGUACCAUUAUACCUGAGGCAUACUAAUAAAACAACAACGCCAUUUUUGACAUGACCGGACAGCUAACAAAAUGAACGACAGCUAACUAGGCACAUUAAACAUGAAAUACAAAAUCGUCACAUUUCACAACAUACCUGCAAGGAAUGGACACAAAUACAAGGAAAAAGUUAAUGAUGCCGUCUGGACUCCCAUACAAGUAUAUUUGCCUGAUAAAAAACAGUGCAGAAUGCCCUGAGAAAAUCAUCAGAAAACUCAAGAUGUCUGCACCUGAAAGAGACCCUCUCCCGCAACAAAGCUAACGGUAGCUGGGUUAGCCUUGCAAAGUUGCACUCAAACAUUAUCCCCAUUCACAUUAAUAUAUAUUCAUAUAAACAGCAAUGCAACACUCUGAGUAAACUGAGAAGUAAAAUAAUGGCUCCCGUUGAUGACAUCACAGCAUUAACACAAUUUAGAAAAUGAUUACAAUAAAAUAGUAUAUCAAAAUAACCUUAAAAUAAAUAUGAGGGAUUUUCGUAUAUUUUACACCUGUUACAUAGGCCUAUACAUUUUAUAUAGCAACAGCAGGCCUAUACCGUUAAAAGGAAACCAGACUUACCGGAUCCGUUGUGGAAUCUAUUGUUUCUUCAUCAGACAACUUGUCUUAGACAAGAAGUGUGUUGGCUGCAGUAGUACAGUUACUUUGUUUUAAGUGUUCCGGGAGUCGAAAUUCUGAGUCCUUAACGAAACACAAAACAUAAUGGACAAUUUAUCUUACUUCGGAUCUGAAACCUAAUAUUCCAGAUGUGGCUGGAGGAGUGGUGGUGGCCACUGCAAGGCAACUUUAAUACUGGAGAAAAUGGUCCAUUUUGACACAAGACAUCAAUCCAGACUAAGAAUUUACCAAAGGUCAGAUCAUAAUGAAUACGAGUGUUAUAUGGACAGAGUCGAACUGAUCUCAGAUCAGCAGGCCUACUCUGAUGGCGAAUUCUCUCUCUCCGAUCAUCCUUUCCAUAAUUUCAGAAUGUCAUCAGGUGUGGAGGUGUAACCAGGGUGUAGUGAUGUAGUAAAUUAAUGUCACCAGGUGUGGAGGUGUAACCAGGGUGUAGUGAUGUAGUAAAUUAAUGUCACCAGGUGUGGAGGUGUAACCAGGGUGUAGUGAUGUAGUAAAUUAAUGUCACCAGGUGUGGAGGUGUAACCAGGGUGUAGUGAUGUAGUAAAUUAAUGUCACCAGGUGUGGAGGUGUAACCAGGGUGUAGUGAUGUAAUAAAUUAAUGUCACCAGGUGUGGAGGUGUAACCAGGGUGUAGUGAUGUAGUAAAUUAAUGUCACCAGGUGUGGAGGUGUAACCAGGGUGUAGUGCUGCUGGAGCUUUAAUGAAUAAAAUACUAUGUGAUCUUAACUCACCUGUCCAUCGUCUGCUGUGUCCCUUGUGUCAUAGGUGGAUUUGGAGGCCUUC
This 1446-nucleotide long non-coding RNA is filed under the name Salmo salar (Atlantic salmon). RNAcentral's name for it is "lncRNA (ENSSSAG00000109097.1)". Lineage: Eukaryota; Metazoa; Chordata; Actinopteri; Salmoniformes; Salmonidae. The record is from RNAcentral.